RNAcentral lists this ribosomal RNA (1225 nucleotides) under Stenoxybacter acetivorans DSM 19021. RNAcentral describes it as "bacterial SSU rRNA". It matches the Rfam family "Bacterial small subunit ribosomal RNA", at positions 301 to 1520 of the family's 1533-position model. The record is from RNAcentral. Lineage: Bacteria; Pseudomonadati; Pseudomonadota; Betaproteobacteria; Neisseriales; Neisseriaceae.
UGAUCCGCCACAUUGGGACUGAGACACGGCCCAAACUCCUACGGGAGGCAGCAGUGGGGAAUUUUGGACAAUGGGGGCAACCCUGAUCCAGCCAUGCCGCGUGUAUGAAGAAGGCCUUCGGGUUGUAAAGUACUUUUGUCGGGGAAGAAAAGGUUAGUGUUAAUACCACUGACUGAUGACGGUACCCGAAGAAUAAGCACCGGCUAACUACGUGCCAGCAGCCGCGGUAAUACGUAGGGUGCAAGCGUUAAUCGGAAUUACUGGGCGUAAAGCGGGCGCAGACGGUUACAUAAGUCAGGUGUGAAAUCCCCGAGCUCAACUUGGGAAUGGCGCUUGAAACUGUGUAGCUAGAGUGUGUCAGAGGGAGGUAGAAUUCCGCGUGUAGCAGUGAAAUGCGUAGAGAUGCGGAGGAAUACCGAUGGCGAAGGCAGCCUCCUGGGAUAACACUGACGUUCAUGCCCGAAAGCGUGGGUAGCAAACAGGAUUAGAUACCCUGGUAGUCCACGCCCUAAACGAUGACAAUUAGCUGUUGGUGUGCUUGCCACAUUAGUAGCGAAGCUAACGCGUGAAAUUGUCCGCCUGGGGAGUACGGUCGCAAGAUUAAAACUCAAAGGAAUUGACGGGGACCCGCACAAGCGGUGGAUGAUGUGGAUUAAUUCGAUGCAACGCGAAGAACCUUACCUGGUCUUGACAUGUACGGAAUCUUUCAGAGACGGAAGAGUGCCUUCGGGAGCCGUAACACAGGUGCUGCAUGGCUGUCGUCAGCUCGUGUCGUGAGAUGUUGGGUUAAGUCCCGCAACGAGCGCAACCCUUGUCAUUAGUUGCCAUCAUUUGGUUGGGCACUCUAAUGAGACUGCCGGUGACAAACCGGAGGAAGGUGGGGAUGACGUCAAGUCCUCAUGGCCCUUAUGACCAGGGCUUCACACGUCAUACAAUGGUCGGUACAGAGGGUAGCCAAGCCGCGAGGCGGAGCCAAUCUCAGAAAGCCGAUCGUAGUCCGGAUUGCACUCUGCAACUCGAGUGCAUGAAGUCGGAAUCGCUAGUAAUCGCAGGUCAGCAUACUGCGGUGAAUACGUUCCCGGGUCUUGUACACACCGCCCGUCACACCAUGGGAGUGGGGGAUACCAGAAUUGGGUAGGCUAACCGCAAGGAGGCCGCUUAACACGGUAUGCUUCAUGACUGGGGUGAAGUCGUAACAAGGUAGCCGUAGGGGAACCUGCGGCUG